ACUUUUGCUUAUAUAUGGUCAUGUUUUUGUGAGCUACUAUAAUUUUAGUCUGGUCCUUUUAUGAAAACUUUGGUGUAAUUAAUAUAGAGGAGUAUAGUGUUUUUGAGAGAUGUGUAGCUAUUUGUGUUAUUGAAUUGCAGUGUAGUAUAGAAUUGCAUUAAAGGCUUAGCACAGCUAGCGUUCUGAACGUGCCUGCAAAAAUUUGGCUCUGGUCCUUGUUUGAUUUAGAGUCCACAAGGUCCUAACAGCUUCGUAAAAGAGAAAUUGUCUUUUAAUCUAUUUUUAUUUUGAUCAGUCGAUUUUACUGAGCUAAAUGGGGACAAGGAGAUUGCUUAGAAAGAAAUUAACUAGUAGUUGAUGUUCAAAGCCUCCAGUAAAUCAAGCCAGGCAUGUAUACAUAGAAAAAUUUAUCCUUUACUCCUAAAAUUUACCAGAAAUUCCAAGUAGCAUUUACCGCACCAUCAAAAGUCCAUGGCGAUUUCUUUCCCUCCAGAUUGAUCAAAGCACAUGGAAAGGUGCUAUAUGGCACCUCUUUCUUCUAUCUCUCCUAAGAUGAAUAUUCCAACUAUCCAAAUAACAUCUGCUGGAGCAACCCUUUGUACUUUAAAAAGAGACAAAAUGAGUCAUCAGCAUACAGAAGUCUUAUGGCAGUGAAUUAAUAGAUGAGUUCUCUACCUCUUCAGACUAGCACAUGAAGCGCCAACAAACUCAUGGUAUAUUCCUUCCUCAAAUUGUAACCCAUAAGGAUUGCAUUUUGAGCAAUGCGCCUAGCAAAAAGCCCAUUAGGUACUAUUGAGCAGCAAAUAACUUUAGAAUAUCUCCUAAAAACCCUGGGUUCAGAAUAUAUUUGCUAUUUCUACUGAGUCGCUUUCCAUGGAAAAAGAACCAAGGAAAUUCUAACCAGACACGAGCAUUAGCUAUUUAUCUUUUCAGGAAGUUUGGAACAGGUGCGAAGUAGGGUAAUGAAAGAAGUGGUUCUGACAAUUGUAUACUCGUUGCUUGUUGAAGAGUAGUCACACAAUAAAAUUUUGUUAGAUAUGUUUAACGAUAUGUUUUUUGUUGUUUUUACUAUCUUGAAUAUGGUUAUCUAACUGGUUGAUAACUUUUGCCACAUUGUAUGAGUACUGUGGUCUCUAUUGUUAUGUGAUUAAUAAAGUAAAGAGUAGACCAAAUCCAUAUCUACUCUAAAAGAUUGAGUCUCUGAAGAGAACUUUGUUGUAGCAAAGAUAGUUAUUGGUUGUGCCCCGUACCCUUCCCUGGUCAUCCCCCAAAAGAAAUAACAGAAUUAUGAACAAUCAAAAAAAGAAAAGAAAAAGAAAUAACAGAAUUAUACCGGAAAAGCUUUAAAAGGUUCAAUUAUUUCCAGAGAAACGUCCUUGCCUCAGAAAAGAAGAGAGUUAUUCAGACUACGCGUGUGUUUGGUAUGGAGGAAAAUGUUUUCAGGAAAAGGAAUAGUUUUGUCACUUAUUUAACCAUGUUUGGUUGGUGAGUG
Molecule: long non-coding RNA, 1492 nt
Filed under: Nicotiana benthamiana
Lineage: Eukaryota; Viridiplantae; Streptophyta; Magnoliopsida; Solanales; Solanaceae
Description: long non-coding RNA (NBEN_LNC008278)
Source: RNAcentral